RNAcentral lists this ribosomal RNA (253 nucleotides) under uncultured bacterium. RNAcentral describes it as "partial 16S ribosomal RNA". It matches the Rfam family "Bacterial small subunit ribosomal RNA", at positions 524 to 776 of the family's 1533-position model. The record is from RNAcentral.
UACGUAGGGACCGAGCGUUGUCCGGAUUUAUUGGGCGUAAAGAGCUCGUAGGCGGCUGGUCAAGUCGAAUGUGAAAACUCGGAGCUCAACUCCGAGCCUGCGUUCGAUACUGGACGGCUAGAGUCUGGUAGGGGGAUCUGGAAUUCCUGGUGUAGCGGUGGAAUGCGCAGAUAUCAGGAGGAACACCGGUGGCGAAGGCGGGAUCCUGGGCCAGUACUGACGCUGAGGAGCGAAAGCGUGGGGAGCGAACAGG